RNAcentral lists this microRNA (21 nucleotides) under Corchorus olitorius. RNAcentral's name for it is "ath-miR56". Lineage: Eukaryota; Viridiplantae; Streptophyta; Magnoliopsida; Malvales; Malvaceae. The record is from RNAcentral.
AUGAUGACGAAGAUGAUGAAA